AAGUGUGCAGGGCACUGGU
This 19-nucleotide microRNA is filed under the name Pongo pygmaeus (Bornean orangutan). RNAcentral describes it as "ppy-miR-648". Its record names the gene ppy-miR-648. Lineage: Eukaryota; Metazoa; Chordata; Mammalia; Primates; Hominidae. RNAcentral also lists the same sequence under 1 other name. The record is from miRBase by way of RNAcentral.